AGUGGCAUGCAAAUGACACGACGAGAGUCGUUCAGUUGGGACAAAAAUCGCUAGGUAUGGGCCAAGAUGAGGCAUUGCCAUCGAACCCAAUGCACAUUCCGCAUCCGAGAGCUCAAGCGAGCGUUCAUGGGCCAAAGCAACAACAAAUGCAUUUCGAGUUACGUGGGACACAAACGACGCUUCGAGGUUCACCGCGUCAAAAGCCCGUAACAAAACAGGCAAACGCUGAGUGAAUAAUACACAAUUUGGCAGCAUAAUUCCUUAUAGUAGGCAUGCAACACAGGAAACCAAAGAAAACGGGCGGGCAAGGCAAGGCGCUCUUGUACCAUCAAAUGAAGAGGAGCACACGGCCGGUCGUCAUAGCCAC
This 367-nucleotide unclassified non-coding RNA is filed under the name Lasianthus cf. varians JS-2013. RNAcentral describes it as "partial external transcribed spacer". Lineage: Eukaryota; Viridiplantae; Streptophyta; Magnoliopsida; Gentianales; Rubiaceae. The record is from RNAcentral.